This 447-nucleotide ribosomal RNA is filed under the name uncultured bacterium. RNAcentral describes it as "partial 16S ribosomal RNA". It matches the Rfam family "Bacterial small subunit ribosomal RNA", at positions 329 to 793 of the family's 1533-position model. The record is from RNAcentral.
GGCCAGACUCCUACGGGAGGCAGCAGUGGGGAAUAUUGCACGAUGGGGGAAACCCUGAUGCAGCGACGCCGCGUGAGCGAUGAAGUAUUUCGGUAUGUAAAGCUCUAUCAGCAGGGAAGAAAAUGACGGUACCUGACUAAGAAGCCCCGGCUAACUACGUGCCAGCAGCCGCGGUAAUACGUAGGGGGCAAGCGUUAUCCGGAUUUACUGGGUGUAAAGGGAGCGUAGACGGCGGUGCAAGCCAGAUGUGAAAGCCCGGGGCUCAACCCCGGGACUGCAUUUGGAACUGCGCGGCUGGAGUGCAGGAGGGGCAGGCGGAAUUCCUGGUGUGGCGGUGAAAUGCGUAGAUAUCAGGAGGAACACCGGUGGCGAAGGCGGCCUGCUGGACUGCGACUGACGUUGAGGCCCGAAAGCGUGGGGAGCAAACAGGAUUAGAUACCCUGGUAC